RNAcentral lists this long non-coding RNA (670 nucleotides) under Nicotiana tabacum (common tobacco). Its description in RNAcentral is "long non-coding RNA (NTAB_LNC001072)". Lineage: Eukaryota; Viridiplantae; Streptophyta; Magnoliopsida; Solanales; Solanaceae. The record is from RNAcentral.
AGAGCUAAAGUUAAUCAAAACAAGUAUAUUGGUAAUCACCACAAAAGCAAGUAGGAGAUAUUAUAGCCGCUCUUUAGUAGAGAAAAUAACCAUUGUCCUGAAAUUUUAAAUAUCACAAGUGAAACUCGAGAACAUUGCCGGUAGACACUAUUUCUACACGUAAAACAUCCUCACUACUUUUGGACUUGCACACUUUUGGAGGGAUUCAUCGGCCUCAUGCUUUUUGAUGGAUUUUUGCAUGUUACGUUUCCAGUGUUGGUGCCUAAUCAUGAGAAGAAAUAUCAAAGUGAAUUACAGUGCCAAAUACAAACAUUAUUAUUCAAUAUAAAGAACAACAUGUGCUACUUAUAAUUAGUGCAUAAAACCAUAUUAGAUUUAGGUCUAGGCAAAAUUAAAGAACUUAUAAGAAAUUUAUGCAAAAAACAAAGGGGGAGCAAAAGUACAACUUCGAUACUAUGCAUUUUCACGAUAUACCUGCCAAAAUAAAAUCAGACAUAAUUGUUCCGGUGCAAAAUCAAUUAGCCUUACAGGUGUCACACACAGCAUUUUUCUUUAUCAUCAUUUUUUCGAUUUAUGGAGUAACACUUAAAAAUAAAGAGUUCCCAAUAAAGUUUAAUACCUUAUUCCCAUUUUCCCUAGUACACUUCCUCCAAAGUUAGGUAUCUCUCAU